Molecule: long non-coding RNA, 1014 nt
Filed under: Coffea arabica (coffee)
Lineage: Eukaryota; Viridiplantae; Streptophyta; Magnoliopsida; Gentianales; Rubiaceae
Description: long non-coding RNA (CARA_LNC007831)
Source: RNAcentral
UCUUAUCAAAAUAUUCAUCCCCAAAGAUACUGAGAGUAAAUGGGGAAAGAGUUAUUCUAACACCACAAUUUCUUAUGGAUGCCGGAUUCCUGGAAAAAAUUAUUGUUACAAAUCCAGAAGAUACUCAUUGUCUUGGAACUCAUCUCGGAUAUUUCAUCAGAAAAAUGUUAGACUAUGGACAGUGGGCAACUGUACAUAUCAAAUCCGCGCCGGCAGAAUGGAUAGGACUUUUUGAUAUAGAAUCAGCAAUACAUAGAAUGAUUAUUACAGUCAGCAAUAUACCACCAGCAAGGAGAACGACAGAAGAACUAGAGAAAAUCAGCAGCAGUCUAGUGGAAUGUCCAUUAAAAUUAAAAGAACAAUUGAUAAAUGCCAAAAUGAUCCAAUUAGCUUACAGACAUUUCAUAUAUCAAUGGGAAAAUGGAAUAAGGUUAGUAUAUGAAAAUAAGGUACAAAAGAUAUAUGUCCCAUACAGGUUUAAGUUAGAAAAAGAUUUCACUAUAAGUACCAAUUAUCCAGAAGUUUUUGAAAAAUAUUUGGAAGGAUAUUAUAUGAGCACAGGAGCAAAGCAUUUGGAUAUCGAAGCAGAUGAAGAAUAUAAUGAUGAUCAUUAUUGGGAAACAAUGGGACCAGAAGAAAUGAGCAGCAUCGAAAAUAUGAUGGAAGGAUAAUUUUUUCGGCCAUCUUGUCUAAAGCUAUAUUGUAUAAAUCGGUCAUAAAGUUGAUAAAGCUUUUAUUAGUUGUCGGCCACAUUGUAUAGUCUGGCCAAAUUGAUUUAAUGGUUUUAGAAUCUAUGAAUAGGUCGGUCAUAAAGUUGAUAUAAGCUUUUAUUAGUUGUCGGCCACAUUGUAUAGUUUGGCCAUAUUGAUUUGAUGUUUUUAGAAUCUAUCGUUACGGAUUUCAGUAGGUCUUAAGUCCGUAAAGUUAACAUGUCAUAUCCACGGACUUUGAGUCAAAAAUUUUUAAGUCCGCACAGUUUGCAUAAAAAGUCUAUAAAGGCAUACGUCCCAAACC